CGCAAGCCUGACGGAGCAAGACCGCGUGGGGGAGGAAUGCCUUAGGGUUGUAAACCCCUUUUAUCUGGGAAGAACAAAAUGACGGUACCAGAUGAAUAAGCCUCGGCUAACUCCGUGCCAGCAGCCGCGGUAAUACGGAGGAGGCAAGCGUUAUCCGGAAUUAUUGGGCGUAAAGAGUCCGUAGGUGGUUUCUCAAGUCUGCUGUUAAAGACAGAAGCUCAACUUCUGAUGGGCAGUGGAAACUGAGAGACUAGAGUAUGGUAGGGGUAGAGGGAAUUCCCAGUGUAGCGGUGAAAUGCGUAGAGAUUGGGAAGAACACCGGUGGCGAAAGCGCUCUACUGGGCCAAAACUGACACUGAGGGACGAAAGCUAGGGGAGCG
RNAcentral lists this ribosomal RNA (380 nucleotides) under uncultured cyanobacterium. Its description in RNAcentral is "bacterial SSU rRNA". It matches the Rfam family "Bacterial small subunit ribosomal RNA", at positions 376 to 770 of the family's 1533-position model. The record is from RNAcentral. Lineage: Bacteria; Bacillati; Cyanobacteriota.